UACAGAGGGGGCAAGCGUUGUUCGGAAUUACUGGGCGUAGAGGGCGCGUAGGCGGCCUUCUAAGUCGAACGUGAAAUCCCUGGGCUCAACCCAGGAACUGCGUCCGAUACUGGAAGGCUUGAAUCCGGGAGAGGGAUGCGGAAUUCCAGGUGUAGCGGUGAAAUGCGUAGAUAUCUGGAGGAACACCGGUGGCGAAGGCGGCAUCCUGGACCGGUAUUGACGCUGAGGCGCGAAAGCCAGGGGAGCAAACGGG
This 253-nucleotide ribosomal RNA is filed under the name uncultured bacterium. Its description in RNAcentral is "partial 16S ribosomal RNA". It matches the Rfam family "Bacterial small subunit ribosomal RNA", at positions 524 to 776 of the family's 1533-position model. The record is from RNAcentral.